CGUGCUGAACAUCAUGCCUGUCGUGGCUUGGUUCCCUUCAUCAGGUGCCUUGCUUUGGCCGGCGCGUUUACUUUGAAAAAAUUAGAGUGCUCAACGCAGGCGAUUCGCCUGAAUAACAGUGCAUGGAAUAAUAGAACAAGAUCCUGUUUCUGUUCUGUUGGUUUUUGGAAUACAGGAUAAUGAUUAAGAGGGACAGACGGGGGCAUUCGUAUUGCGGCGCUAGAGGUGAAAUUCUUGGACCGUCGCAAGACGAACUACUGCGAAAGCAUUUGCCAAGAAUGUUUUCAUUGAUCAAGAACGAAAGUUAGAGGUUCGAAGGCGAUCAGAUACCGCCCUAGUUCUAACCAUAAACGAUGCCAACCAGCGAUCCGCCUGAGUUACUCAAAUGACUCGGCGGGCAGCUUCCGGGAAACCAAAGUAUUUGGGUUCCGGGGGAAGUAUGGUUGCAAAGCUGAAACUUAAAGGAAUUGACGGAAGGGCACCACCAGGAGUGGAGCCUGCGGCUUAAUUUGACUCAACACGGGAAAACUUACCCGGCCCGGACACUGGGAGGAUUGACAGAUUGAGAGCUCUUUCUUGAUUCGGUGGAUGGUGGUGCAUGGCCGUUCUUAGUUGGUGGAGCGAUUUGUCUGGUUAAUUCCGAUAACGAACGAGACUCUAGCCUAUUAAAUAGGUGCGUGGUUCUCUGCACCUUGCACCCUUCUUAGAGGGACAAGCGGCUCCUAGCCGCACGAAACAGAGCAAUAACAGGUCUGUGAUGCCCUUAGAUGUCCGGGGCCGCACGCGCGCUACACUGAAGGAAGCAGCGUGUUUUUAUCCCUGUCUGUAAAGACUGGGUAACCCGUGGAACCUCCUUCGUGAUUGGGAUAGGGGCUUGCAAUUGUUCCCCUUGAACGAGGAAUUCCCAGUAAGCGCGAGUCAUAAGCUCGCGUUGAUUACGUCCCUGCCCUUUGUACACACCGCCCGUCGCUACUACCGAUUGAAUGAUUUAGUGAGGUCUUCGGACCGAUACCCGGAGCGGCCUUUCGGUUGCGCCGGUGUGUUGGAAAGAU
This 1052-nucleotide ribosomal RNA is filed under the name Ixodes scapularis (black-legged tick). Its description in RNAcentral is "SSU rRNA". It matches the Rfam family "Eukaryotic small subunit ribosomal RNA", at positions 685 to 1756 of the family's 1831-position model. The record is from RNAcentral. Lineage: Eukaryota; Metazoa; Arthropoda; Arachnida; Ixodida; Ixodidae.